This 859-nucleotide long non-coding RNA is filed under the name Pavo cristatus (Indian peafowl). RNAcentral's name for it is "lncRNA (ENSPSTG00000012470.1)". The record is from RNAcentral. Lineage: Eukaryota; Metazoa; Chordata; Aves; Galliformes; Phasianidae.
GUCAGGUUUGCCUUCCUUUCCAGCCCCCAAAAGAAAGGUUAUUAAAACCCGAGACUUCAGAGAAGGGGAAAGGAUUGUGUAAGAUCCAGGUGAAUGACAGACUGCUUAUCAGGUGGGAACAAAACCUGGUGAUAUAAACAAGAAAGCAGGCUCAGGCACACCAUACUUAUCCACACGAGUGCGGCAAGCCAUCAAGAUACAAACACAGACUAUCGCUGUACACUCUCCACUUAUCUAAAAUUAUCUCUUAAUGCAGGCUAGCUACAUGUAGAUUGCUUCUUGAGAAAUGUUGAUGAACUGUACCGACUCCUGAAUCAUGUCCAGACAUCAGUUUGUCCAGGGCAAAGCAGUGCCAGGAACCAAGGUACCAGUACCUUACAGCAAAAUCACACUAUGGAUUUUUUGGACUAAAUUCAGAAUGAAGCCAGAAAAUCCAGAACUCAGAACUUCUGGAAAAAAAAAGCUGGUAGUUUGCUGUCAGGAACCCCGUGUCAUGGUCUCUGGAGCGUGGUCAUGGUGAUGUGGACCAGUUUCCACUGUCCCCUGGACACUAGGACUUUAAUUUCUGACACGACCUUUCAAAGUGCAGCCUUGAAAUGAAGCUGUGGGAUUUUGGAUAGCUGCAGGCCAACUCUGUGGGACAGCUACACCUCUGACCGUGCACUCAGCCUUCAGUUCCACUGACUUCUCCCUGCACAAAUUUGUUUUACCUGUUUAGCACCUGUGUUACUCUAGAUAUUUACUCCUGCCAGAGACUUUACAGUUAUAUUUCUGAAAAACUAAAUGAUUUUGGAAUUUCUAAGCAAAAAGUAUUAAAUGGAAGCUUAUACAUGUUAUCGGUGUAGGUGAUUGUGGUUAC